RNAcentral lists this ribosomal RNA (280 nucleotides) under uncultured bacterium. RNAcentral describes it as "partial 16S ribosomal RNA". It matches the Rfam family "Bacterial small subunit ribosomal RNA", at positions 334 to 611 of the family's 1533-position model. The record is from RNAcentral.
GUUACCUACGGGGGGCAGCAGUGAGGAAUAUUGGUCAAUGGACGCAAGUCUGAACCAGCCAUGCCGCGUGCAGGAUGACGGCUCUAUGAGUUGUAAACUGCUUUUGUACGAGGGUAAACCCCGAUACGUGUAUCGGGUUGAAAGUAUCGUACGAAUAAGGAUCGGCUAACUCCGUGCCAGCAGCCGCGGUAAUACGGAGGAUCCGAGCGUUAUCCGGAAUGAUUGGGCGUAAAGGGUGCGUAGGCGGCCUGCUAAGUCUGGAGUGAAAGGUACCGGCUCA